AUGGCUACGGCUAAGAGAAGCAAGGCGAAAGCUGCCAAGGCCAAAGCCGCGGAAGCAGCCAAGACAGCCAGGGCCAACGCCUACGAGGCCGAAAGGGCAGCUGACGCGGACGCUGUACGGGCCGCCAAGAUUGCCAAGAGGAAGGCGAGAGAGGCCAAAAAAGCUGCCACGACGGACACCGCGAAAGCCAAAGAGGCAGAAGAAGCCGCCAGGACAGCCAAAUUCAUGGCCGAAGAAGCCGCCAAGGCAAAGGAAGCCGCGGACGAGGCGAGGCGGCUGGAGGACAAGGAAACGGAGUGGGCGCAGUGCGAGGAAGAGCUGUUCGCCUCGAGGUUCCGCCGUUUCUGGAACAAAUUCUACGCCUGCCGCGGCCGCGGCGUCACCUUCCAUCAAACCACAUCUAUCCCUGCCAUGCGUUAUACGUCCCCUGCUUCUCGUGACUCGCCCGAUGCCAUGGAUACUCUACAGUUCAAGUCAGUCAAAAUCGCAUCAAUCAAAGAGUGCUUACACUGGCCGCUGCAAGUGUUUGGCAUCGUUGCUGCACGUGAUAUCCUGGAUAACAAGCGCAACAUUAUUUUCCACCGUCCGAGAAAUAGCUGCCAGACCAUCACCGAAGAGGAUCCAUAUCUUGCAUUGACCGGCCCCAGUCGAGCUAUUGCGGUGUCAAUAGACCCUUCCUACAUUGAGGUUUCCCUGAAAGUCAAGGGCCCUACAAAAGCUGAGGAUAAAGAUCUGAGUGAUCUUGUUGUGACUUACAAAAGUGCGUAUUGCCUAACUGGUGUUUACCCUAGCAGGCUCAGCACGCUGAAACUUGAAUUCAGCCACGUUAGUUUCUCUGUGGAGGCCACAAUCUGUAUAAAACUCACUGGUGGGUCAUGGCCAAUUGGUUUCCAAAGUGUAUUCACUGCUGGCACUUCUACUGAUGAUGUCCUUGUCAAAUUACUUGAUUCCGGACAUGACGGGUUGCCUGUCGAUGCCAAUGGUGUGACCAAGCUCUCGCGUCGCGUGGUUUCUGUUGGACUGGAGAAGUUUCUGAAGGUUUGUCUCAUGGCAAUUUCGAUUAAUGAGAAACAAGUUGUUGAGAGUAGCGAGGCAACUUUUAAGCCUGAGAGGGCUGACAUUAGCCUAAUCAAUCUUAGUCUUGGCUUCUGUAGUAUGGAAGUCGCCGUUGCUUGGUCAUGUUUCUGUGAUGAGUGA
RNAcentral lists this ribosomal RNA (1197 nucleotides) under Triticum aestivum (bread wheat). RNAcentral's name for it is "partial small subunit ribosomal RNA". The record is from RNAcentral. Lineage: Eukaryota; Viridiplantae; Streptophyta; Magnoliopsida; Poales; Poaceae.